RNAcentral lists this non-coding RNA (45 nucleotides) under Schistosoma mansoni. Lineage: Eukaryota; Metazoa; Platyhelminthes; Trematoda; Strigeidida; Schistosomatidae. The record is from RNAcentral.
AUUCAACUGACGAGUCUCAAAUAGGACGAAACGUGCGUCCUGGAU